Molecule: ribosomal RNA, 301 nt
Filed under: uncultured bacterium
Lineage: Bacteria
Description: partial 16S ribosomal RNA
Rfam family: Bacterial small subunit ribosomal RNA
Source: RNAcentral
CAGCCGCCGCGGGAAUACGAAGGGUGCAAGCGUUAAUCGGAAUUACUGGGCGUAAAGCGUGCGUAGGCGGUUUGUUAAGUCUGUUGUGAAAUCCCCGGGCUCAACCUGGGAAUGGCAAUGGAUACUGGCAAGCUAGAGUGUGUCAGAGGAUGGUGGAAUUCCCGGUGUAGCGGUGAAAUGCGUAGAGAUCGGAAGGAACACCUGUGGCGAAAGCGGCUCACUGGACAAUAACUGACGCUGAUGCACGAAAGCUAGGGGAGCAAACAGGAUUAGAUACCCGAGUAGUCCCUGUCUCUUAUAC